Molecule: long non-coding RNA, 759 nt
Filed under: Phasianus colchicus (ring-necked pheasant)
Lineage: Eukaryota; Metazoa; Chordata; Aves; Galliformes; Phasianidae
Description: lncRNA (ENSPCLG00000010197.1)
Source: RNAcentral
CUCAAACUAAGAUUUAGAUUUAAAAUGUUAAUUUUUAAUAAGGCAGAAGUUUUCUUUAAGAAAGCUCCAGGAAAAGGUUCUGGUUAGCGUUCAUUGCAGAGCUUUAUAGCUUUCCUCAGGAUCUCUCUAGACCUUCCACAUGCCUUUUCUAAAUACCUUUCUACACAGUCUCAGCAGUACUAUGAUUGACCUCCAAAAGACUUAUUUUUCUGAUCAAAGGAAGACACCAAUUAAGAAAUGGUGGAAAGAUUUCUAAGCAGAAUGAAAAAUACACCAUAGGAAGUGAACUCCUGAGUUGUACUACCAAUCUUCAAAUGUCAUAUGCAGAAAUCUGCCUAAGACUGGCAGACAGAAUCCUGUGGCUCAGAACCAAAGCUGGAAAAAGCAAAACAGGACCGAAGAGUUAACAGCAGCAAGACCUUCUUUCUGCCAUCAAAAUUUUGCAAUAGAGAGAGCACGACUUCCUCUUCUCGUAAGCAGCUCUCCCAGUAACAGUGAAAUCCACACCAUGCUGUAUGCAAGGAGCAGAGGGAAGAGUGCAGCUCGAGCUGGCUCUGGAUCAUGCAUGACAUCCCAAAGCAGAGGUCUGUGCCUGUUCUUCCUCCAUGCCUUCCAACACCAGCAACAUUAGGAUGUCUUUCUUUCACAUGGAUCCCCUCAGUCAUGCAUCCGAUUUCUGGGAGAGAACUAAUCCUGCUAAAAUAACUGAAUUUCUGAGCACGGAAUAAAAUCUCAGACCAAGCUGUUUUCUGUUCCCCC